UCGAGAAUCUUUCGCAAUGCACGAAAGUGUGACGAAGCGACGCCGCGUGCAGGAUGAAGGCCUUCGGGUUGUAAACUGCUGUCAUGAGGGAACAACGGCUUCGGUGUUAACAGCGCCGGAGCGUGAUGGUACCUCAGGAGGAAGACACGGCUAACUCUGUGCCAGCAGCCGCGGUAAGACAGAGGUGUCGAGCGUUGUUCGGAUUUACUGGGCGUAAAGGGUGCGUAGGCGGUUCUGCAUGUCGGAUGUGAAAUCUCACGGCUUAACUGUGAAACGGCUUCCGAAACUGCAGGGCUAGAGUACAGGAGAGGAGAGCGGAAUUCUCGGUGUAGCGGUGAAAUGCGUAGAUAUCGAGAGGAACGCCGGUGGCGAAGGCGGCUCUCUGGACUGAUACUGACGCUGAGGCACGAAAGCUGGGGGAGCAAACAGG
This 430-nucleotide ribosomal RNA is filed under the name uncultured bacterium. RNAcentral describes it as "bacterial SSU rRNA". It matches the Rfam family "Bacterial small subunit ribosomal RNA", at positions 355 to 776 of the family's 1533-position model. The record is from RNAcentral.